Molecule: ribosomal RNA, 427 nt
Filed under: uncultured bacterium
Lineage: Bacteria
Description: bacterial SSU rRNA
Rfam family: Bacterial small subunit ribosomal RNA
Source: RNAcentral
UGGGGAAUAUUGCGCAAUGGGGGAAACCCUGACGCAGCGACGCCGUGUGAGGGAAGAAGGCUUUCGGGUCGUAAACCUCUGUCAGGAAGGAAGAACCUCUCAAGGCUGAACAAGCCUUGGGACUGACGGUACUUCCAGAGGAAGCACCGGCUAACUCCGUGCCAGCAGCCGCGGUCAUACGUAGGUGGCAAGCGUUGUCCGGAAUUAUUGGGCGUAAAGCGCGCGCAGGCGGGAUAUCAAGUCUAUCUUAAAAGUGCUGGGCUCAACCCAGUGAGGGGAUGGAAACUGGUAUUCUUGAGUGUCGGAGAGGAAAGUGGAAUUCCCAGUGUAGCGGUGAAAGGCGUAGAUAUUGGGAGGAACACCAGUGGCGAAGGCGACUUUCUGGACGAUGUCUGACGCUGAGGCGCGAAAGCCAGGGAAGUGAACG